CUUCUCUCUUUCUUCAAAAUUCCGAAGACUUCUUUCAAAAGAUAGAGAGGAAACGAGAAAAAAAAAAAUUAAGCUACAGUUUUCUGCUGAAUUUAAACUCCAGUCUAAAGACACUAUGCAAAUGGCUUAUGCUAAGAGGAAAAUACCCCUUCUCCCCCGACGAGAAGUGUAGAUGCAUCCAAAACCCCUCACCGCUUGUCUCUGCUGCCAGAGGCCCAGUACGGGCACAACUUGUGGUUAUGUUUUGGCUUGUUUCUUACCUCCGGGCCUUCUUUAUAGCUCUGCCCCCCACCCCACCAGCGGCGGCGCUCCCGCGGCGGCACCCAGGCCGCCUGUUGGCUGCGGCGCCCGGCCGGCUCGGCACACUCCCCGCGCCGCGGCGCACACGCGCGCCCCCGCCUCUUCCCGCCUGGGCCGCUCCGCCGGCGGCGGAGGCGGCGGUGAUGGUGGCAGGUAGCGAGCCAGCCGGCCUCGGUCCGGUAACCCAUGGCAACCGCCCUGGAUUGUCAAACCCAAAACAGAUCCACCCACUGAGGCGGCGGAGAAAAAGCGGUUCGGCGGGUGCAGCACUCAGGAAAUGAGGUGGCAAGCUAGACACACACCUACUUUGAGACAGUGAGCCACUGCGUAAGCAUCCUGUCUGCUCCUACCAGGAGAUCAGCCUGGGAGUGGGGGUCACAGAGAAGCAUUUCACCACGAGGAAGCCAGAAAGUCAGUGACCAGGAGUAUUAGAAACAGUGACAUGAAGACACCCCCACUUUUAUUUUUUCCUUUUUUAAUUGUUGAAGUGAAAUUUACAUAACAUAAAUUAACCAUGUUAAAGUAUAAAAUUCAGUGGCAUGUAGUCCAUUCACAAUGUUGUGCGACUACCAUUUGUACCAAGUUCCGAAGUUUUUUCAUCACCCCAAAAAGAAACCCUGUACCUGGUAAGCAUUCCCUCCCCGCUUCAGCGCCUG
This 956-nucleotide long non-coding RNA is filed under the name Camelus dromedarius (Arabian camel). Its description in RNAcentral is "lncRNA (ENSCDRG00005000896.1)". The record is from RNAcentral. Lineage: Eukaryota; Metazoa; Chordata; Mammalia; Artiodactyla; Camelidae.